UCUUGCGNGAAAGACGACUAAGCGGAUUAGUGGCGAAUCGGNUGAUACGCGUGAGUAAGCUGACCUUACACAAGGGGAUAGCCUUUGGAAACUGAUAGAAGUAAUACCCUAUAAAACCGAUAUAAAGCACAUGCUAGAAUGGUCAAAGUGAUAGCGGUGUAAGAUGGACUUGCGUCUGAUUAGGCUACUUCGGUGAGGUAAAACGUCUCACCAAGGCUAACGAUCAGUAGCCGGCUUGAGGAGAGUGUACGGCACAUUGGGACUGANACACGGGCCAACUCCUACGGGAGGCAGCAGGUGGGGCAAUUUUUGGACCACAUGGGGGAAACCCUGAUUGGCAACGAAGCCGCGUGAUUUAGAAGGCCUUCGGGUUGUAAAAAUCUUUCGUAUAGGAAGAACACCUGACUGGUACUAUACGAACUAAGGUCCGGCUAAUUACGUGCCAAACANGCGCGGUUAAUACGGUAAGGACCGAGGCGUUGGUCCGGAAUCAUUGGGGCGUCAAGAGGGUACGUAAGGCGGGUAGAAAAGUUCANGAAAGUCACAAAGGUUAUAGCUCAAGUAUAGUAAAGCUUGUAAAAGCUUAUUUUAGCUUGGAAG
RNAcentral lists this ribosomal RNA (600 nucleotides) under uncultured bacterium. RNAcentral describes it as "bacterial SSU rRNA". It matches the Rfam family "Bacterial small subunit ribosomal RNA", at positions 62 to 648 of the family's 1533-position model. The record is from RNAcentral.